This 101-nucleotide small nuclear RNA is filed under the name Myotis davidii. Lineage: Eukaryota; Metazoa; Chordata; Mammalia; Chiroptera; Vespertilionidae. The record is from RNAcentral.
GUGCUGGGUUCAGGAGCACAUAUUCUAAAAUUGGAAAGAUACCGAGAAGAUUAGCAUGGCCCCUGGAUGACAGGCAAAUGUGUGAAGUGGCCCAGAUUAAA